RNAcentral lists this ribosomal RNA (269 nucleotides) under uncultured bacterium. Its description in RNAcentral is "partial 16S ribosomal RNA". It matches the Rfam family "Bacterial small subunit ribosomal RNA", at positions 335 to 621 of the family's 1533-position model. The record is from RNAcentral.
UACCUACGGGGUGCAGCAGUGGGGAAUAUUGGGCAAUGGACGCAAGUCUGACCCAGCAACGCCGCGUGAAGGAAGAAGGCUUUCGGGUUGUAAACUUCUUUUAAGGGGGAAGAGCAGAAGACGGUACCCCUUGAAUAAGCCACGGCUAACUACGUGCCAGCAGCCGCGGUAAUACGUAGGUGGAAGCGUUAUCCGGAAUCACUGGGUGUAAAGGGUGUGUAGGCGGGGCUGCAAGUCAGAUGUGAAAAUUAUUGGCUCAACCCAUAACC